RNAcentral lists this ribosomal RNA (406 nucleotides) under uncultured bacterium. Its description in RNAcentral is "partial 16S ribosomal RNA". It matches the Rfam family "Bacterial small subunit ribosomal RNA", at positions 30 to 526 of the family's 1533-position model. The record is from RNAcentral.
AUUGACCGCUGGCGGCAGGCCUAACACAUGCAAGUCGAACGAGUGGCGGACGGGUGAGUAAUGACUGGGAAACUGCCCGAUGGAGGGGGAUAACUACUGGAAACGGUAGCUAAUAACGCAUACCAUCGGAUGUGGCCAGCUGGGAUUAGAUAGUUGGUGGGGUAAAGGCCUACCAAGGCGACGAUCCGUAACUGGUGUGAGAGGAUGAUCAGUGACACUGGAACGGAUACACGGUCCAUACUCCUACGGUAGUCAGCAGUGGGGAAGAUUGGACAAUGCGCGAAGGCCUAGUCCAACCAUGCCGCGUGGGUGGAGAAGGUCUUCGGAUUGGAGGGCUCUUUUAGUUGGGAGGCGUUACCAACAGAAUAAGCACCGGCUAACUUCGUGCCAGCAGCCGCGGUAAUAC